GAAUAUUUUAAGAAGAGCAUGGGCUGCGCCCAACAUUAUACUUCUUGUUUUGAAGGAAUUAAAGUAAUAUAAGAUCCAAGUAAGCAUCUAUUGCACUCCACUCGAUUAUUCACAUAUACUUUACUAUUGUUUUAAUAUACAUAAACAGAAACUAAAAAUGUGAAUAAGUUUUUUUUUUUUUAUAAAAAAAAGAGAUUCUUCAAGAAAUUUAACAGGCAAGUUUCUCAAUAAACAUUGGUUCAGAUCAGCUUCAGCAUAGCAGCUUCUAUGGCCUCCAGAUAUCAUGGCUGCACGACAAAGCAACCAGAAUGGGGCAAAGGUAGAGUACUCUGCUUUACACUUGAAACAGUAGAAUGCCAGUUCAACAAUUUGAUCUUUGCUUAGACAAUCUUUUGAAUUACACAAGCUGCACGACAGCAGCCACUCGCAAGGUCCCAUUUUGGAGUAGUUCUGCAAGUUCAUCAAAAAGUAAAGCAGUACGCCAGCCCCAUCCCUUGGGAGCUUUUGGUAAAAGAGUACCACGUUGUUUAAAGCUUCCGAAUACCAUAACUUCUCUCUUUGAAGGACAAAUCAGCUGAAAAAUUAUUUGAUGACAGAUCUCAAGUUAUUAAAAUAUAUCAUUAGAUUAAUUAUGUGCAUAUAGUUGUGUUGACAGCAGUUUUUUCAGCUGCAACUUCACCUGAUAGCGGGCAGUAACCUUCUCACGAGAGUCCACAUAGAUAUGAACCUGAAAAAAGGUAGGCUUGAUCUUGAGUGCUUAUUGAAAACUUCAAUUAUAGCAAGUAGCAAUGAUCACUAUAGUCAGCUGUUCCUUUAAGUGGCAUUUGGUGAACAAAAGUACCGAACAUCAACGGUGUUAACAGAAAAUGCAAGGAAAAUCCUCUGAUGUUGGAUACAAAUAGAACAUGUCACACUUUAAUUUGUCAUUGGUAAUGCUAACCUUUCUAAGGGAGUCAGUAAUCUCUGCCCUGCGUCGGUGAAGAAAUAAUCCUGAAAUGUUACAAAGCAUUUAAUACAAUUGAAUUACAGCAAAAUAAUUUCUUUUCAUCCUGAUAAACAUAGAAUAUCAUGUUUUCAAAAUGUGAGUCUAUAGCCAAUAGAAUAUUACCAAGAGUUCGGCGUCCUUGAGGAUCUUCAUCAUUAAAGGCCUGAACGCUAACCUUCCACAAAGAACCAGCAUAAAAAUAUUCUGGGGAAUGCUUGACUUGGCCAUCACUGAGCCUAUGCACAUCCUCGAAUUCAACCCUGUGGCACCCAUAGCCAAUUCAGACAACAAGAAGUAAUCCUCAAUCCCAUUUCAGACAAUAAUAAGGCAAAAUUGGUUGAAUAGCAGUCAUUGAUUAAGAGCACGAAAUUAAUAAGGUGUGUGUAGAAGUCGAAUUGUCAUCCAAAUUAAGAGAAUAGACCAAGAUGAGGUUAAGCAUAACAUUGGGAUUUCCCACAUAUCAGGUCAAAGGGUACUGUGAAAAAAAGGAUGCCAAUAACAAAUUUUGUGUACAACCAAUAGAAUUAAAUGAACUGGCAAUUGAAAGAAACAAAUGAGUGAUAGAGAAAAUUUUUCAAUACUGGGUGGUGGCUGAAAGGAGUCAAUAUAUCUCCUUGCGGUCUGAAGCUUCCAAGUGUCGCAUCUUUUAAAAGAUAAAUAACUAGUAGUAAGAAAUAUGUGUGGCUAGACAUGCAAAGAAAUCAACUCACCCAAAACGAAAUGGAGGGAAAUGGCUUAAAGGCGUUUUCAUAUCUAAAGAUAUAGAGGAACUGUUUGCAUUCUCCCAAUCAAUUCCAAUAGCAUGUUCUGGUGAGUCAAGCAUCUGGACAGCAACACCACUGGUACUUGUUGCUGAAAUGGAUGUUCCUGACAACCUACCUUGCAGUUCUGUCUCAUACCCUCUCUCCAUAUGCUCCCCAUGACCAUUAGUGGUGUUGCUCCCUCCUUGACUUAACCCAACAAGAGCCGUCAACCCAUCUCCUGAUAGGUCUCCAUUGUGAUCAGUUCUACUCUCUGAAUCUUCAUUAGCAAUAGAUUGCUGGCAAUUUCUAUUGCCCAUGCCAAAUGGCACACGGGAGAAGACAAAACGUGUUGGGGGCCAUGCUGCUGUUGGCACAAAUGUAGUUCCACGCCCAAUACCUGCAAGCCCAUCAAUAGGUCCCCUAACAUGCACUCGUACUGGCCUAAAAUGGCCAUUACCUUCACCUUGAGCAGAAUCAGCAACGUAUAUAUUCCCCAUGCUACCAGGAGAAUUAUUAUGAUCAUGGUCUUGCAUGUAGUAACCUGUUGUAUUAACCCCUUGAGAAAACCCAAAUGGUUGCCUGCAAGUGCAUGCCAUACUUGUGAAGCAGCAAACUUUACAUGUGUCAGCACCAAUUUCUUGCACCCUUUGGCUUAAAAGCAUCUGCAGCCAAAGACCAUCGUUCACAGCUUUGCAAGGAAAACCCAAUUCUUCAAGCUGUUUUCUCACAUUUAAAAGUGCCUCAAAAGACAUGUUAGAAUAUAAAAGUGAACCCCCUUCAAAUAUAUUGACAAACGUAUCAUAUUCCUCCCCACGAACCCCACAAUUCCCUUUUGCGUAACAUUUUAACUGUCUUCUGCCCACAACCCUACCACCCCAUGAAAGAGAAGGCAUGCCACAUCUUCCCCAAUCAUUGAGCAUAAGUCCAUUACAGGAUGGUUCCCUUGAUGAGCAAUGCCUAGAUUGAUCACCUGUAAUCCAAUUGUUGUUAUUCAAAUGGCAAGGACCUGAUUCAGAUGGCCCCUCCAUAGCCACUCCACUGGUCCCUAAUCCACUCGUUCCAACAUGGAUUGGCAUUUCAACGUAAGAACAUGAGGCUCUAUUUCCAUUCAUUUCUGAAAAUGGGUUACUCAAUGAAGAUUGUUUCGCAUCACAUGGCUGCACAGUGUCCAAAUUUGACUGUUUGGAAUCAGAAACUACCACUUGGAAGUCAUCCACAGAAUCAAUAAGUUCAACCAGAAGACCAUGAGCUGCACUUUGGCUUUUCAGUUCAUCUUGUAAACAGCGUCCUAGUUCUGAUUCCAACCUCUUUCUAGAGCAACUAUCAACCAAAUUUUUUCCCUUUGCUUUGGAAGAGUCAGAAUGAAUACCCACGCCAAUCUCAGAACUAGAAUUGCCUUGCUCAGAAUGCUCUGUCUUGCAAAAAGCACCUUUUGCAAGAAGUGUGUAUAAUGCCAGCUCAAACCGUUUCUCUUCACUAGGUACCCAUAAUUCAUCUGAGGUCAGUAAUGCAUGCAGAGUUUGGGAAGAAAGUUUUGGAAGCACCUCUUUCAAUUCCAUGGCACCACUUUGACAAAGGUAGCCCCAGCAAGCAUUUCUCACACGCUCUCCGUGUAUGCCGUAGUCUUGGCUCUCCGCAAAUACCUGAUAUGCCAAGAAGUUAGAAGUCCACAGUUCAGAUAUAAUGAAGUCCGUGCAUAUAGCACAUAAAUCCUGAAGGUCAAGAAAGGAAGCAGCAGCCAACACACGAAAUGCGUUGUUAUCAUUAAGCUUAGGGUGAUGCCCGUAAAGAUAAGCCAAAGCCAUUGCAAUUGCCUCCGCACUAACAUUCUUAUCAUCCACAUGUAGAUUCACGAUAGGAGAACUGGCUUCUUUCCAAGGACCAUGUAGCAUGUUCCUGAAGUAGGAACUGCGAGAGAGGAUGAGGCGAUGGAGAUGGUAGGUGGAGCCCAUAGCGUGGACUACAAUAUCGGAGAAGGAACCAGAAUUGAAGCCCUCCAUCUGGAUGUGGUCGCAGAGGGAAGUGAGAUUACAAUCCAGAGCCCGGAGCUCGCUUCUACUCCGGUCAUUGUCGGAGUGAUGUGAGGGCUGAAUCGUCAUUUUCAUCUGGUGCGGCCCAUAAGUUCGAGGCUGCUGUGGAUAUUGACCUUCCAUUGUUAAGUUUUUGAGGUCCUUUUGGAAUUCAGAGUGUAGAUCAAAGUAGAGGAGGAAGAAAGGAAGCCAUGGCAGAACAGAGAAAAGCUUUUUGGGCGGUAUGUACUGGGACAAGUUAUAGAUCGGAUAAGUACGGAACACGAGACACAAAAGUCACAGAUAAAACGCAGCGUUUGAAACUAUGACCCGUUCGACGACAGCGGCCAGCAGAUAUUAG
RNAcentral lists this unclassified non-coding RNA (4098 nucleotides) under Hevea brasiliensis (rubber tree). Lineage: Eukaryota; Viridiplantae; Streptophyta; Magnoliopsida; Malpighiales; Euphorbiaceae. The record is from RNAcentral.